GUAUCCAUCCCUGACCCGCGUGGUUUCCCUGGGAAAACGCUCCAUGCCUCCAGGGGUCGGGGAGAAAAGCCACGGCUCGAGACCGCGAGCUCGACCAAGAUCCACCGCUUCCCUUCCGACCUUCUCUGCCGGCGACUGGAGAGACGGCCCGGCCCCUCUCCUUCCGGUGCUCCACCACCACACUCCGUCUCUCCAAUGACCGCGACAUCCCUGGUCCUUACGCUGCUCCUUCCCCGGAUCUCCCCUCCGCCUCGAAUUUCCUUUCCCCUCUGGCGACGGCGACGGCGACGGUUCCACGGUCAAAUUCCACUAAUGUCGACCUAAGGCCGGAUGCAAAAUUUACUCACAGGUUAUACAUCUCAUACAUUCCUGUGUUAUGCCUUUCUUCUGAAAUUAAAAAGCAACAGUGGGAGAGAGAAAUUGCUGUACUGGUUAAGACAACUGAUUUUCAUACAAUGGCAGCAGUGCACAAACAGUGUCAGUGGUGUGUACUUAUUUCAGAGAUGAUUGGUGUCGGCUCAGCAGCUGCCAUUUAAUCAAAUCACAAUUCAUAGACUAGUAGGAAAACAUAUUGGAUAGCUAGUGUCAGAUCAAUUCAUUAGGAGCAUGUAUGGACACACAAUUAUCAGUAUCAUAAUGCAUGGUUGUAUCAUAAUUAGUAGACUAUAAUCAUGAAUUUCACUUGCAUGCAGACAAAGCGCUCCACACCUAGCAUUUUAGAAAGUUUAAAUUCAUAUACUGAUCUGUAUAUAAUUGCCUAGAAUUUGCAUCACGGUUUGUUCUUUCAACUCUUGAUUCCUGAACUACUGGAUCUUGCAUCUAUGUUUAGCUAGUAGAGUAUAAAAUCCAAAUUCUUAUGACCAGAACUAUGAACGGUUGUUUUAAUGUUGCUCUCUGUUAAUACCGGAGGAGAAUAAUAUGUCACUGAAUCUGAUGCAAUGAUAAUCUAAGCUCAAAACAGUAAUCAUUAUCGUUUCUUUCUUUAGCAUAUACAUAUGGAAUUUGUUGCCCUGACAUUAUAGUUUAAGCUCAAAAAUAUAGAUGAUGUACAUAAUUUUAUUUUCCGUUGGCAAAUAUGGAGUGAUUGUCCAAAUUAAAAAUAACAUUGUUGGAUAAUGAUUUGUGGUUUGUCUGAAUCUGAUAGGUGACGAUAUGUCAUUCUUCGUGUUGCGAGAUAGUCUUGUCUUUGCAACGGAACGAACUGCUUCUAGACUAUCUAAUCCUGUUUGGAGUGAAGUUGCUGACUUCCAAAAGAAAAUGUUCUAAUUCAGUCAACGUCGAGCUGUUGUUCUCAACUGAUGUGGAGUAGAGGAAGACGAGAUAUCCCGAACAUUGUGUUACAAUUUGCAUCUUCAGAAGUGUGGUUGUCCAUGGCAUGGAGUUUUGAUAAUUUAGAACAUUUUGUACUGGCAUGGAGUUUUGAUAAUUUAGAACAUUUUGUACUGGUGUAAAGGUCCAGGACAAGCCCGCGACUAUCGUGUUUCUAGUAGCUAAAAUCUAUUUUUCCUAUUGGCAUUGGCUUCAUUGUUCUAAAACCCAGAACCUGUUGAACAAUGAUGUUAUUUGUAAUGGCAGCAUGAGAGGAGGAAGAUUUGGUUUCUUGGUC
This is a non-coding RNA of Triticum urartu, 1606 nucleotides long. NCBI's taxonomy places the organism in Eukaryota, Viridiplantae, Streptophyta, Magnoliopsida, Poales, Poaceae. The record is from RefSeq and is a predicted model, not a curated record.